This 263-nucleotide unclassified non-coding RNA is filed under the name plant metagenome. RNAcentral's name for it is "partial contains small subunit ribosomal RNA, internal transcribed spacer 1, and 5.8S ribosomal RNA". The record is from RNAcentral.
UUUCCGUAGGUGAACCUGCGAAAGGAUCAUUAUUGUAUAACCGAGGUGCGAGGGCUGUCGCUGACCCGAAAGGUCGUGCACGCCCGAGUGCACUCACACACAUCCAUCUCACCCCUAUGUGCACCACCGCGUGGGUCCCCCUUUGGCUUGUUCGGAGGGGGGCUUACGUUUUCACACAAACUUUGUAUGCAGUGUAGAAUGUAUUUUUUGUUUUUGCGAUCACGCAAUCAAUACAACUUUCAACAACGGAUCUCUUGGCUCUC